GAGUUUGAUCCUGGCUCAGAAUCAACGCUGGCGGCGCGCUUAACACAUGCAAGUCGCACGAGAAAGGGGAGCAAUCCCUGAGUAAAGUGGCGUACGGGUGAGUAACACGUGGGUAAUCCACCCUUUAGUGGGGAAUAACCCUGGGAAACCGGGGCUAAUACCGCAUAAGCCUGAGAAGGGAAAGCAGCAAUGCGCUGAAGGAGGAGCCCGCGGCCGAUUAGCUAGUUGGCGAGGUAAUGGCCCACCAAGGCGAUGAUCGGUAGCCGGCCUGAGAGGGCACACGGCCACACUGGCACUGAAACACGGGCCAGACUCCUACGGGAGGCAGCAGUGGGGAAUCUUGCACAAUGGGGGAAACCCUGAUGCAGCGACGCCGCGUGAGCGAUGAAGCCCUUCGGGGUGUAAAGCUCUUUCGUCAGGGACGAUAAUGACGGUACCUGGAGAAGCAGCUGCGGCUAACUACGUGCCAGCAGCCGCGGUAAUACGUAGGCAGCGAGCGUUGUUCGGAGUUACUGGGCGUAAAGGGUGUGUAGGCGGUUUUCUAAGUUUGGUGUGAAAUCUCCCGGCUCAACCGGGAGGGUGCGCCGAAAACUGGGAGACUAGAGUGCGGGAUGGGAGAGUAGAAUUCCUGGUGUAGCGGUGAAAUGCGUAGAUAUCAGGAGGAAUACCGGUGGUGUAGACGGCUCUCUGGACCGCCACUGACGCUGAGACACGAAAGCGUGGGUAGCAAACAGGAUUAGAUACCCUGGUAGUCCACGCCCUAAACGAUGCAUAUUUGGUGUAGGUCAUUCAGUUGAUCUGUGCCGGAGCUAACGCGUUAAAUAUGCCGCCUGGGGAGUACAGUCGCAAGGCUGAAACUCAAAGGAAUUGACGGGGGCCCGCACAGGCGGUGGAGCAUGUGGUUUAAUUCGACGCAACGCGAAGAACCUUACCAGCCCUUGACAUGGGGAGUAUGGGUUGCCGAGAGGUGAUCCUUCAGUUCGGCUGGCUCCCACACAGGUGCUGCAUGGCUGUCGUCAGCUCGUGUCGUGAGAUGUUGGGUUAAGUCCCGCAACGAGCGCAACCCUCGCCUCCAGUUGCCAUCAGGUUAAGCUGGGCACUUUGGAGGAACUGCCGGUGACAAGCCGGAGGAAGGUGGGGAUGACGUCAAGUCCUCAUGGCCCCUACGGGCUGGGCUACACACGUGCUACAAUGGCGGUGACAGAGGGAAGCGAAGGGGAGACCUGGAGCGAAUCUUAGAAAGCUGGUCGUAGUCCGGAUUGAAGUCUGCAACUCGACUUCAUGAAGUCGGAAUCGCUAGUAAUCGCGAAUCAGCAUGUCGCGGUGAAUACGUUCCCGGGCCUUGCACACAC
RNAcentral lists this ribosomal RNA (1352 nucleotides) under uncultured bacterium. Its description in RNAcentral is "bacterial SSU rRNA". It matches the Rfam family "Bacterial small subunit ribosomal RNA". The record is from RNAcentral.